This 626-nucleotide ribosomal RNA is filed under the name uncultured bacterium. RNAcentral describes it as "bacterial SSU rRNA". It matches the Rfam family "Bacterial small subunit ribosomal RNA", at positions 249 to 885 of the family's 1533-position model. The record is from RNAcentral.
UUGGUGGGGUGAUGGCCUACCAAGGCAGUGACGGGUAGCCGGCCUGAGAGGGCGACCGGCCACACUGGGACUGAGACACGGCCCAGACUCCUACGGGAGGCAGCAGUGGGGAAUAUUGCGCAAUGGGCGGAAGCCUGACGCAGCGACGCCGCGUGAGGGAUGACGGUCUUCGGAUUGUAAACCUCUUUCACCCACGACGAAGCGAAAGUGACGGUAGUGGGAGAAGAAGCACCGGCCAACUACGUGCCAGCAGCCGCGGUAAUACGUAGGGUGCAAGCGUUGUCCGGAAUUAUUGGGCGUAAAGAGCUCGUAGGCGGCUUGUCACGUCGACUGUGAAAACCCGGGGCUCAACUCCGGGCCUGCAGUCGAUACGGGCUGGCUUGAGUGCGGUAGGGGAGACUGGAAUUCCUGGUGUAGCGGUGAAAUGCGCAGAUAUCAGGAGGAACACCGGUGGCGAAGGCGGGUCUCUGGGCCGUAACUGACGCUGAGGAGCGAAAGCGUGGGGAGCGAACAGGAUUAGAUACCCUGGUAGUCCACGUCGUAAACGUUGGGCGCUAGGUGUGGGGACCUAUCCACGGUCUCCGUGCCGCAGCUAACGCAUUAAGCGCCCCGCCUGGGGAGUACGG